Long non-coding RNA from Aricia agestis (brown argus), 252 nucleotides. RefSeq lists it as uncharacterized. The record is from RefSeq and is a predicted model, not a curated record. The transcript has 3 exons. NCBI's taxonomy places the organism in Eukaryota, Metazoa, Arthropoda, Insecta, Lepidoptera, Lycaenidae.
UUUUCAUCGGAUGUGGCUUGUUUCUAUCUGAUUAAUACAAAAUACACUAAACUGUGCACAUUGUCUGACAUAAGUCGCGGACGCGACCUUAAGCGUUCGGACGUCCGAACAGAAUCUGGCUGGUUGGAUGUUUUUGCAUCCGCGGACGUCCGCGGAUGAACCGUGCACAUUGCUAAGCCGCAUCCAUCAGCCGCGAUUUAUGGAUGCGACCGAUAAUUUGUUUCUAGCUUUAGGGCCUCAUUUUUGUUACAC